CGGGAAACAGAUGCAUAUCUUCCUAUAAAGCUUUCAUUGCCGUUGCUAGUUAAUCAUGUACAAUAGCAAUGCCAAGUCAUGCACACUCUUUACAAGUUCCAAAUAACCUCAAUCUCUACCGAACACUUCACUGAUACAAAGACACACCAGCAGCUAAACUUGAUAAAAGGAUAGGCAGACCAUUUAAAAAUUUUCAACAAAUCCCUUUUCAGCCAAGAAAGGAGGAAAAAACAAUUUCCACGAAACCACCCAGGUAGGUGCAACUCCCUCACUAGCUCCACUGGUAGUUAAUACCAGUCAUUGACCUAGGAAGGACAGUAGCACAAAGGCUCAGACCAUCAGUGCAUUCAGAAACCUUACCGAUUUGACUCCCCAACUUAGUUAUUAAUGGUGCCGUGAUUGUAACACCAGACCAAGCAUUAGAAUUUCUAACAAAAUCAGAAAAACACUAUAAUUGUUUGCGCGCAUAUCCAAUUGCCAAUAAGCAUGUACGAACAUUCUGGGUUAGGCCCAUCUGUCAAGUAUGGAAUCACUUAGAAAAGAGACCACCAUCUCCGACUUCUGUUGCCCCUUUGGUUGGGUGAAGAAGAGCCAGGAACGUGAUGAAGCCCUCCCUCAGGGAAGUUGCAAUGAUGAUUUGGCACUCUUCCUCGAGAAUUUCCUAGCCACAAUACAAGGACAAUACCCGCAAGACUGACAAUUGGACCAGCAGCAAGAAAAAACCAUCUACUUCUGCGCUCUCUUCCAGAGCUACUUACAAUUGGGUUCAUGUCUAGAAGCUCCCUUUGCUCCAUUCCACCUUGGUCAAAUUCACCAGCUCCAUCUGAAACAUAAGAGGAACUUUCCUCGCUUGCAUCCUGCUGCUGAAUUUCAGGAAUCCCCGAUCUAUUAUUAUUGUUUUGCUUACCCUUCUCAUAUUCUUUGUCAUCAGUCGGUAGCUCAAACCUACAGAGAGGGCAUGAAUUUCGAGUACUCAGCCAUGGAAAAAUACAGGAAGGGUGAUAUAGGUGAAGGCAAGGAAGCUGGUUAACUUCAGUGCCAAUGGAUAAAACAUCCUUGCAAAUUGCACAAGCUAAACCAUCAUUCUUCUCAUGUUCCUCAUUAAUGAUCACACAAGGGAGGUUAUUCACAAAGGGCACAGCUGCAGGGGGUGCUUCUCUUCUUGAGCUGUCAGUCUCUGCAAGAUGUUCAAGAAAUUCUUCAAAGCCUCUUGCAUCAAGAUAAUCCCCAGAAUUUCUUACAUAUUGUGGUAAUUCUGAUUCUCCUAAGUUAGCAAAGAUCUCCCUGUUAUAUGCUUGUCUAUCUUGCCUGAUUCUCCAGUGAAACAGGCCCUCAAAUUCAGGAGAAAAUAACUGUUGACGCCAAUUACUAGAGCCACUACCUUCAUUUGGACUUGAAAUUAAAUAAUUUCGCAGCCUUGGUCCUGCCACCACAGAUUCAGUUGUGUUGUCCUCAACAUCAGCUUCUUCCCAUUCACCAUCUUCUUCUUCUUCCUCUUCCUCGU
This 1504-nucleotide unclassified non-coding RNA is filed under the name Hevea brasiliensis (rubber tree). The record is from RNAcentral. Lineage: Eukaryota; Viridiplantae; Streptophyta; Magnoliopsida; Malpighiales; Euphorbiaceae.